AGGGGUAUAGCUCAGUGGUAGAGUGCAUGCUUAGCACGCAUGAGGCCCUGGGCUCAAUCCCCAGCAUCUCCC
RNAcentral lists this transfer RNA (72 nucleotides) under Camelus bactrianus (Bactrian camel). It matches the Rfam family "tRNA". From Rfam's summary of the family: Transfer RNA (tRNA) molecules are approximately 80 nucleotides in length. Their secondary structure includes four short double-helical elements and three loops (D, anti-codon, and T loops). The record is from Rfam by way of RNAcentral. Lineage: Eukaryota; Metazoa; Chordata; Mammalia; Artiodactyla; Camelidae. RNAcentral also lists the same sequence under 2 other names.